GUGGGGAAUAUUGGGCAAUGGGCGAAAGCCUGACCCAGCAACGCCGCGUGAAGGAAGAAGGUUUUCGGAUCGUAAACUUCUAUCCUUGGUGAAGAUAAUGACGGUAGCCAAGAAGGAAGCCCCGGCUAACUACGUGCCAGCAGCCGCGGUAAUACGUAGGGGGCAAGCGUUGUCCGGAAUGAUUGGGCGUAAAGGGCGCGUAGGCGGCCUGGUAAGUCUGGAGUGAAAGUCCUGCUUUUAAGGUGGGAAUUGCUUUGGAUACUGCUGGGCUUGAGUGCAGGAGAGGUAAGUGGAAUUCCCGGUGUAGCGGUGAAAUGCGUAGAGAUCGGGAGGAACACCAGUGGCGAAGGCGACUUACUGGACUGUAACUGACGCUGAGGCGCGAAAGUGUGGGGAGCAAACAGGAUUAGAUACCCCGGUAGUCC
Molecule: ribosomal RNA, 425 nt
Filed under: uncultured bacterium
Lineage: Bacteria
Description: partial 16S ribosomal RNA
Rfam family: Bacterial small subunit ribosomal RNA
Source: RNAcentral